Molecule: long non-coding RNA, 6690 nt
Organism: Gallus gallus (chicken)
Lineage: Eukaryota; Metazoa; Chordata; Aves; Galliformes; Phasianidae
Exons: 3
Source: RefSeq, a predicted model, not a curated record
UUUUGUCUCAUGCGGUUGAGUUCUCACAGACCAGGCAGCCAUUUUGUAUCACAUGCCUGAGCUCCCACAGGUUGGGCAGCCAUUUUGUAUUGCAUGCCUGAGUUCCAACGGACAAGGCAUCCAUUUUGUAUCACGUGGCUGAGCUCCCACAGACUGAGAGGCCAUUUUGUCUCACGUGGUUGGGCUUACAGAGUCGAGGAAGCCAUUUUGUAUUGCAUGCCUGAGUUCCAACGGACAAGGCAUCCAUUUUGUAUCACGUGGCUGAGCUCCCACAGACUGAGAGGCCAUUUUGUCUCACGUGGUUGGGCUUACAGAGUCGAGGAAGCCAUUUUGUAUUGCAUGCCUGAGCUCCCAAAGACUCGGCGGCCAUUUUGUAUCACGUGGCUGACCUCCAACAGACAGGGCGGCCAUUUUGUCUCACGCGGUUGAGCUUCCAGAGACUGGGCAGCCAUUUUGUAUCACAUGGUUGAGUUCCCACAGACUCGGAUGCCAUUUUGUAUCACAUGCCUGAGCUCCCAAAGAUUCGGCGGCCAUUUUGUAUCACGUGGCUGAGCUCCCACAGACUGGGCGGCCAUUUUGUCUCACGCGGUUGAGCUUCCAGAGACUGGGCAGCCAUUUUGUACCGCAUGCCUGAGCUCCCAAAGAUUCGGCGGCCAUUUUGUAUUGCAUGCCUGAGCUCCCAAAGAUUCGGCGGCCAUUUUGUAUCACGUGGCUGAGCUCCCACAGAUUGGGCAGCCAUUUUGUCUCAUGCAGGUGAGUUCUCACAGACCAGGCAGCCAUUUUGUAUCACAUGCCUGAGCUCCCAAAGACCAGGCAGCCAUUUUGUAUCACAUGCCUGAUCUCCCACAGACCAGGCAGCCAUUUUGUACCACGUGGCUGAACUCCCAAAGACCAGGCAGCCAUUUUGUAUCACAUGCCUGAGCUCCCACAGAUUGGGCAGCCAUUUUGUCUCUUGCAGUUGAGUUCUCACAGACUGGGUGGACAUUUUGUAUCGAAUGCCUGAGUUCCCACGGCGAAGGCAGCCAUUUUGUACCGCGUGGCUGAGCUCCCACAGACUGGGCGGCCAUUUUGUCUCACACGGUUGAGCUUCCAGAGACUGGGCAGCCAUUUUGUAUCACAUGCCGGAGCUCUGAAAGAUUCGGCGGCCAUUUUGUAUUGCAUGCCUGAGCUCCCAAAGAUUGGGCAGCCAUUUUGUAUCGCAUGCCGCAGCUCCCAAAGAUUCGGCGGCCAUUUUGUAUCACGUAGCUGAGCUCCCACAGACUGAGCGGCCAUUUUGUCUCACGCGGUUGAGCUUCCAGAGACUGGGCAGCCAUUUUGUAUCACAUGGUUGAGUUCCCAGAGACUCGGAAGCCAUUUUGUAUCACAUGCUUGAGCUCCCACAGACUGGGUGGCCAUUUUGUACCACGUGGCUGAGCUCCCACAGACAGGGCAGCCAUUUUGUAUCACAUGCUUGAGCUCCCACAGACUGGGUGGCCAUUUUGUACCACGUGGCUGAGCUCCCACAGACAGGGCAGCCAUUUUGUCACACAUGGCUGAGCUCCCACAGAUUGGGCAGCCAUUUUGUCUCAUGCUGUUGAGUUCUCACAGACCAGGCAGCCAUUUUGUAUCACAUACCUGAGCUCCCACAGACUGGGCAGCCAUUUUUCUCACUAGGCGGAACUUCCACAGACUGGGCAGCCAUUUUGUAUCACCCAGUUGAGUUCCCACUGACUGGGCAGCCAUUUUAUAUCAAAUGCCUGAGCUCCCACAGAUUGGGCAGCCAUUUUGUAUCAUGUGGUUGAGCUGCCACUGGUCCUUUUCCCUCGUACAGGGAAAGUGCCUGUUUCACCCACGAGAGGCAGCAGACAGUUGGCAUUGCCUCCUGUGGUUCCACAGUGCUCCCUCUAAAAUUGAAGAAUAAGGUGUGUUCCUUAUUAAAGGCAUUAUUAGUGCCCUUCCCCUUUAACCAGGACCAUCAACCUGUAGGCAGAAGGUGGAAACUUUCUUCCUGACUGAGAGGAAUCAUUCUGUCAUUGAAUUGGGAGCAAAGCUAGUGGAGGCAUGAAGAGAAAUUAUGGAAGAAGAUACAUUACAGAAAAAAAAACAUUUUACGCAAAGCAAAGAAGUGGUUUUGCGGACAUUUGCACAAUGUGUUGAGCAUUAUGGGAGAAGCCCCAAAGGUAUGUGUUUGAGUAUUUAACUACUAGAUGAUGGAAGCACCUGUAGUUGAUACAGGCUUGGAUUUAACAGGGGAGAGUAGUAAAAUUCAACUCUUCUGUCAGCCCCAGAUGUGAGCCUUCCUUCAUGCUGAACACUCCUGAAUUCCCAACAUUGCUCUGCAGUUUCUAACUUAACAGCCCUCAGCACCACUGCAUCUCUUUCUAGUGGUACAGUGUAAGUACCCUUCACUCUCAUGAAGCAGGACAGAAGGACAAACAAUGAGGAUAUCUAUAUAUACAGAUAUAUAUAUAUAUACACACACAGAGAUAUACAGAGCUAUUAAAUCUCUGAAUAUUGUCACACUGACAUAAAAAAAAAAUCAAGAACACAUUGACAUUAACCUGCUUUUUGACUAAUGCCUACAGACACAUUAUUAAUAUGAAUCCAUCCUAAUUGCUCUUUGGUGGUCAGAAUGACAGAUGUCACAGGAUGCUUUCUGCACAUACUUCACUGUGCAAGACAAAUGUGUUUCUCUGUUGCUACUUGAUUUUAUAAUAAUUUGUAAAAUGUCUGUUACAAUAUUUAUUAUAAAAUGUUAUUAAGCAGUAUUAAAACAUCAUGAGCUAGAUCCUGUUGUAGGAUGUAGCCAUUCUGUUUUGAUAAGGAAAUCAGGCCUUAAUAGUAGCACAAGCAGUUCCCAGAAGAUAAAAGCAAAUGUCCAUAACCAGAGUGUAAAUGCCUUUUCCUCAUCCUUUGCUCAAAGAGAAAAAGAAGACAUGGCUAUCAGACCACAAUUGAUGUUACUGCAGUCAGUUGUGAUUUCUUUCAAACUUUUCAAGAUUCUUGCCAACAGAAAGGAACCAUCUCAGAACAGAACAUCACUGAUUUUGAACCAAAAAGGAUGCAGAUAUAUAUAAGCCAUUUACCUUCCCUGGCUGCCAAGAAAUGCAAAUGCAAAAUACUAAUGGUGCAUAUUGUGUGUAUUUAAACAUUUGAAUACUGAGCACAGAGUGAGGUUGAAACAGUGACAAGCAUUUCUUUCUGGCUAGCAGUUUAGAACGGUUUUUUAAGAUAAGAUGAAUAUGGUGAAAACAACCUUUCUACAAGCGUGAGCCCUGGAUACCUGUGAACCUGGGAAGAAUACUAUCUUUCUGCUGUUGCAACAAACCAGAGAAUUCUCAGGACUACAUAGUAUCACCUACUGACACUGUUUUGGAGAGUACUGCCAUUUCACAGCACUCCACUGCCUGUAUAUAUAUAAACCUAUGAUACCUUAUCCACAGCACAAAGGGAGAGCAAGUAAAACUAGCUAUUGGGUCCACAUGCUACCACUGGGUCUCAUGCUGGGAGUCUCGCUCUUCAGUGCUGAUCUGUAAUGGGGUCCCCCACACACUCAUAUCCACUUCAUAAUAAAAAGAGUUGAAAAGGUGCAUCUUUGUAAUAGGAGUGGCAGUGCACAGCCAUACCAAGUUGCCAUUCAAAUGAAAACAAUAAGCAAAUUUUGUGCAGUACUAAAUUGCAUCAAAAUUAAUGUUUUGCAGUUUUCCAGCACUUCUGCCUCCUUAUAUUGACUGAAGCUGAGACAAUCACCUUGCAUUUUGAAUUUAGCCAUAAACCUCUUAUAAACUAAAGAGGAAGAAAAAAAAAUCAGCAGAAACGCAUCUGCAGUAUUCAAAAGGAUGGUAAAAAACUGCUUCAUUUCUUUGUGGCUAUUUUUCUGGCAUGGCAUGCAGUUAUUUAAUCAGGGCACUACGAGUCCCUGCCGACGGCAAUCCAUGAUUCUAAAUGAGGCUGUGCACUUGAUAAUAAGAACUGACCAAAACGCUUGAGUGUUCUGCUUCAAAGCAGUCUCCCUGAGACUAUAUUAUAAAGAUUAUUUACAGAAAAGGCAGUAGCCAAACUGUUAUUAUAGCUUGUCAAUUUAUAAGCAUGAUUGCAUUUACAUGUAUGGACUAGAAAAAGCAAGAAUUUCUUGGUGUGUGUAAAGCUGUCAUUUUUAAUGUUCUCUGGAAAUUCUGUUUUGUAUAUAAAGUGGAAAGCUUCAGUGUUUUGUUGAAGAGAAAACCUUAAACAGUGCUUCCUAUUUUAUAUGCAAACCUACUGGAGAUCGCUACAGUUGGGUUGUAAGGGCACCAGAUCUUCAGCUACCGUCAAUCAGCAUAACUCCUCUGAUCUGUACAGUAGAAAUGUGCAUUGUAUUACACCAAAUAGCUAAGAAGUAACUUAUCUUUGUGAAAACCAAUAACCAACAAUGUUUUCUAUACCACAGGCAGAGAACAGGCUGCCCGGAGAUGUGGUGGAAACCCUGUCCCUGGAGACAUUCAAGGCCAGGAUGGAGCAGGCUGAGAAGCUUGUGGAUGUCCCUGUUCACUUUAAAGGUACCCUGCAACUCUAAGGAUUCUAUGAUUCUGUGUUAGCAGAGUUCCCUUUUCAUUUAACAAAUUGAGUAUAAACUAACAACUACCUAAGCUUGACAUAAUCAAGAUAUUUAUUCCUUUAUGAUAUGACUGUGCUCACAUAAAAAAGUACCAGCCAGGAAACAGCAUCACAUUGUGUGGACUGUAGUACAGAUGCAUAACAAGUGCUACCUCCAGAAAGAUCCCAAUUUAAGACACAACAAAUCAGCUGAGGAAAAAGCGGAAACACAUAUGGACUAAAGGACUUGUGCUCUUGUUAAUACAACUACUUAGCAUUCCAUAUUUAAGCCAAUACACAAACAUCAAAGGCUAAUUGAUGACAUUAGUGAAAAAGGGCAUGAUGCCUCUUCGGCUUCUUUCCAGAACUUCUGGAGAUUCCUGUCAUCCUGCCAUGCAAUUUAGCUUGCAAAGUCCUGAUAUAAAAAAAAAAGUUCUACUUUUCAAAGAACAGACCAUGGCCUCUGGAUUACUUCUUAUUCUAUAUCUGCAUUGUUACACAUAUACAGAAAUAUUCUUGUUGAACUAAAUUUCAUGUGUAGAAGGGCAGUGCAGCAGCAGAGCAGUCUGCAGACACCUGGAAACUUGGUUCUAGUCCUGCCAACAGCCCAUUUUGGUACCAGGUCAAGCUGUGAUUUUGGGUGGAAGCUCAGUGCUGAGCACACAUUUUUGAGCAGAUCGGUUCUCCCACUCAGCCUCCGCACUCCCCUCUGCCAAACAGAUGAUCUUUUUGUCCAAAGCUUGCAAAAUGUAACCCUUCUGUUACCUCCAGGUGCCAGUUUUUCUUAUAACAAGCUCUGCUUGUGAUCUGACUGCAAUUGAAACAGACGUAUGAGAACAAGAAAGAAGUCUGUAUGUCAGAGGACCUGCAGAACUGUUGUACACAUCUGAGUCAAUCAGCUCAGGCAGUAGAGACUUUACCCUUCAGUUCCAUUUUAGAAAGUGUGGAUUUAUUCAGUCCUGAACCUAUGCCAGGCACUGCAACAAACCCAACACUGCAGCUGAAGCAUUGGAGUGGGAGAGUUAUACCUCUGCCACCAACAUAUGGACAGCAGUAAUAUAUUCAUGAAAAACUGAAGGCGAAGGUAAAGCACAAUUCCAGAACACAGCAAUAUCUGAAAACUUUGAGCACAGCAGAAGUGUUGACAAAAAUCUGUUGCCACAGUGCUGCAAAGCUCCAGGAUGUUAAGAGGCUUCCAGGCAAAUCUUUAUGAUGCACAUUGGAUGGAUGGUGAGUUCAAGAAUAUCAGCAGCCCCAGCAGCAGCCAAGACUAAAACAUCAGCGCAUACACACAAAGCUUUUUUCCCAGUGGCCUAAUCAAACACAUGCUGAAGCUCAGACAGUAUUUUUCUUUAUAGCAGCUCACAGCUUUUUGCAACUUUUAUCAAGAUUUCUUGCCUCAGUGGUUACCUUGAGGAUUAGAGGGGGCUUAGGGAAGACAAGGUCCUGGUGAGAACUUGAAUUAACAGCUGUUCAUCUUUUUAGCUUGUCUUUCCAUCGAUGCUUUGGGAAUGUUAUAUCAAUGGUUGCUUUCUGGAUUACAAUUGCAAGAAAGCUGCUCCACCACAGAACAUUUGUUGAGCUCAUAAACACAGCACAGUCACUGAAAAAGUGCACAAAGUGCUGUACCUUUUGCCAGAGAUAAUCAAAGGGAUUCAUAUGGUUGUCACUUGUGCCUUUAAACGUGAAGCACGUUAAAGAAUGCCAACAUUUAUGAAAAGCCAUAUAUGAAAUCCCACUUGAUGAGGGAGAGCUAGGGUCCAACUCACUCUUCCUCGAGCACCCCCACCGCUUCGCUCGGUGCGCAGCCCACCUCGGAAGGAGACACUCAAGUGCCCGGAGCCGCACCAGCACCGCACCGACACGGCUCUGCUUUCCUGCCCCUCGACACAGGAGCGCUCUUUUGUCUCCAGCAACCUUCGGGCACGAUCCUCAGAGGGCAUAGCCUUCACACGGACCUCUCGAGCAACGCGGCGGCUUCUCCCUGCUAACCAAGGAGCGCACCCAGCACCUGACCAGGACCGGGCGGCACCGCGGAGCCGGCCCGCACCGCACAGCACCGCACCGCAACCGGCCCCCGCCGCCCAGGGCUGCCCCAGUCAGCGGGACCCCUACCCGCGCCCCCACACUCACUUC